RNAcentral lists this ribosomal RNA (252 nucleotides) under uncultured bacterium. RNAcentral's name for it is "partial 16S ribosomal RNA". It matches the Rfam family "Bacterial small subunit ribosomal RNA", at positions 524 to 776 of the family's 1533-position model. The record is from RNAcentral.
UACGUAGGUCCCGAGCGUUGUCCGGAUUUAUUGGGCGUAAAGCGAGCGCAGGUGGUUUAUUAAGUCUGGUGUAAAAGGCAGUGGCUCAACCAUUGUAUGCAUUGGAAACUGGUAGACUUGAGUGCAGGAGAGGAGAGUGGAAUUCCAUGUGUAGCGGUGAAAUGCGUAGGUAUAUGGGGGAACACCGGUGGCGAAAGCGGCUCUCUGGCCUGUAACUGACACUGAGGCUCGAAAGCGUGGGGAGCAAACAGG